Long non-coding RNA from Equus caballus (horse), 13701 nucleotides. The record is from Ensembl. Lineage: Eukaryota; Metazoa; Chordata; Mammalia; Perissodactyla; Equidae.
CGGAUGGGUGGUGUUCCCUCUGGCGGCUCUAAACCCGGCUGAGCGCGGGCGUGCCCCUGGAGCUGAGGAGCGGCAGGUGCUGGGGUCACGCCGCGUUUGCGGAGGGCGUGGCGCUGCCGCGUGAGGUCACAGGAGGCUGAGGCCUGAGGGACGUUGUCGUCGGCCUGCCCGCCUUUGGAAAUCGAGAUCGGGGUGAAAUUCCCAAUCUGUCGCAAGCCUUUCCUGUUUUGUUCGUGCAGGCUCAGGGUGGAAGCCGUGCUCGUGGAGGGGCCGCUGGGACCCGCUCGGUUCCCUGCGGGGAUGCGCGGGCCGCCCCGGCUGCCCGUGGACGCGCCGCUCCGCUCAGGAUGCGCAGCCACGUGCUCCGGGCAGGGCGCUCGUUUGAGCUGAGAAGGCAGCCUGAGAACUGGCGCCCUGUGGUGGCACGGGGACCGCGUCCGCUCCGACCCCAAUGACCUCGUGGGUUGGGUCUCCCUCUCUCCUCGCUGGGUCCCUUUCUCUGCUUUUCUUUCAGAAGCUGGCUUCUCUCUUCUGCUUGUCGGUUCCUGUCUGUGUGUCUGUCUGUCCCCUGGUGUCCAGCCUCAGCAUCUCGGGUUCCAAGUGGCCUUUGCGGGUUUGGGGGGUGGGGGCGGGGCGGCAGCAGGCUGACAGGAGAGACUCACCCUGCGCCUGCCAGCUCUGCGGUAAAUGUGUGUGGGGUGGAGGACCCCGCCUGACCCGGGCUGACCUUCUCAGGCCCAGGCCCAGUGAGGGUGUCCUGCUCCCCUGUCCCCAGCAGAGGAGCCCGCAGGACGUCUUAACCCUGGACAAGCUAUGUGGCUGGCUUUCAAUCUCCUAAAAGCCUCUCGCAAACUUCUGGGCUGCAGGGCAACCCGCAGGGGCUCAGCGGGACCCACCUGGUGCAGUGGCGGUUUGCCGGUGAUGCAUCUUUUGCGGUAGGAGCUAUAAAUCCCCACUGAAAGAUGAGAAAUUAAGCCCUGGAGAGGCGAAGCGGUUUCCUCAAGGUCGUCCCUCUAACAAGUGCUGGGCUGCUCGUGCGGUCCGGGCCUGCCCGGCUCCAGCUCCGAGUGAGCCCACUUAGUCGCAUGCCAGGGGCCUCUGCGGCACGGGCCAGUAGGAGGCCAGAUUAAUCGCUAUGACAAAUGAUCUCCAAACCUCUGUGGCUGAACACAAUAAAAAGUCACUCACGACUUCCAGAACAAACGACCAUGAGUGUCCUGGUCAGGUGGCUCUCCUGGGCGCUGUCCUCCCAGCGGUGACUCGGGGACCCGGGCUCCUUCCACACUGUGGCUCUGCCAUCACCUCGGGCCUCGGGUUCCUCCGCUGGAUUCUGUCUGUCUACCAGCAGAUGAGGGAAGAGUGGAGGGCUCUGUGUGGCCUUUCCUUGGCCUGGGCCUGGCGGUAGGGCCCACGUCUACCACACUCCAUUGGCCAGAAUUCAGACACAAGCUACGAAGAAAGCUGGGAACUACAGUGUCGUUUUGCGCCCAGGAAGGAAAGAAGUGGUUUGGCAAACAACCAGCCAGUCUCUCUUGUACGAGGCUCCAGUCUGUGUUUCCAGUCUCAGCUCCUAUGACUUCUUGGCCACCAUCUGCUAAGAGGAUUGUAUGAUUUGUUCACAAUUUUUCUUUCUCUAACCAUCAUUGUGUGGCUCAUCCUGGUCAGGUGUACUUCCCGGCCCUGCUGACUUUGGGACCAGCCAUGUGACUUGCUGCAACCCGUGGAGUAUGGGCAGACGCAGGGUGUGUCUGUGCACUGGGGCGCUUUCACUGUGGCCGUGUGGUUCGGCUUGGCCUCUUGCACGCCUGCGUUGCACCUUGAGAAGGGUAUGUUGCUCCUAUGGCCUGGAUCCUGGCAGGAGAGGCAUGUGAGCAGACCUGAACUGGACCCACAGGCUGGAGCAGAGAUGCUCAGCCAACUUGCAAACCUGUGAGCAGGAAACUAAAGCUUAUGGUUGUAGGCUGCUGCUGCUUUGGGGUUGUUUGUUACACAGCACUCUUGUGUCCUAGCUGACCCGUAUAGCUUACUGCCAUGAUGGAGAGAUGCCCACAUACCCUGAGCCACCCCACUCUCCCACGCUCCAUGAUGACUUGCUGCUGGCCCUCCUUAAAAGCCUUUCUUCUUGAUCCCUCCAGAGGCCAGGCCAGAGGCAGACCCUUCCACAGAGCGUCUCUUACUGUCCCCAGUCCUUGGGCAUUCAGAAGUGGCAGAGGCUACUGGCUCCUCAGUUCAGUUCUUGUCCACAGUUUUCCUGGUCAUCCUGUUUUCCCCACCGCCUGGAGAGUGGUGCUUUUGAAGGCAGGAGCCACGCUAAUUCCCUCUUUCCUCUAGCCACUGCUCCUGUGUCCCCCACACAGUUGACAGUCAGACAGUGUUUGCUAAACUGGAUUGAUUUGCAUGUCUGUCCCUGUUAAUGGGAGGUCCGUAGGGCACAUCGAGUGCUGGCAGGCGUCCCUGAGAGUGCCGGCCGUGCUUGGUGCUCAGAUGAUGGGUCUGCCACUGCCUAUGUGGAAGAGGGGCUGCGCCGCCUCCCGCGCUCUCGGCUGGAGGCCUAGGCUCAGCACGGGGCCAUCCCUCUCCCUCCCCGAGCCCUUGGUGUCCGAAGCCUGGGUCAGGAGGGAAAGCGGCAGCCUCACACCUUGGCCCGCACAUGCCUUGGGGAAGCCAGUGGACUUCGUCAGCAACGGCCCCGGCUGCCAGCAUAAUCCGUCUGUGGUCCUCAGAGCACCGUCUGCAGCUCGGGUCCUGCCCUGCACUGGAGGGAGAUCGUUUGCAUCAUGAUGCUUGGGGAUGCUCAGUGUUGGUGUCUGUGAGCCAGGUGACAGGGCCAUCUCUGGGUUAGUCGUGCUCCUCCCAAAGUGGGUGGCGGGCGAGUCUUGGACAGGCCUGUACAGUAGUGGCCACCCCGGCCGCACCAGGCCCUGCCCAGCUAAAGCUGUGGGUGUGUGCGUGUACCGGCCGUGUGGACCAAAGCUGGGUCACUCCCCUGGCAGGCGCGAGGUCGGGGCAGUAGCACAGUUAAGCCUCGUCUGCUCUGCAUCCUCCUAAAGUCAGGGCUCGCUUGUUUUCUCUGUGCAAAGAAAGAGAUGAGCAACACAAACAGCUGCAGUGGGGGAUUCUGGUUGCAUUAAUUGUCUACUGCUGUGUAGCAAAUUACCCCAAGGUUAAUGGCAUAAAAAACAAUGAAUGUUUCUUAUCCUCGAGGUUUCUGUGGGUCAAGAAUUCAGUGUGGCUUGGCCAGCUGGUUCUGGCUCAGGUCUCUCACGAGGUCGUCGUCCUCUGAAGCCUCCGCAGUGGCUCACCCGCAGCACUGGCUGGUGCUGGAGCUGGCAGGAGGUCUCGGUUCUAGCCCCCCAGUCUGCUGCUGUGUCCUCCCGACCUCAGAUCAAGCGACCCAAGGGAACGAGAGAGAGCCAGGCAGACGCUACCCUAUUUAUGACCAGGCCUUGGCCAUCGUACAGCGAGCGGUACCUCUACCACAUUCUGUCCCUUAGAAAACAGAGGGGCCCCAGGCCCAGACGGAGCCUUGGGCAGCAAAGGACAGCCCAUUGACACGGACCAGCUGAGGCAGGAAAGGGACAAGACACUCGAGAGAGCGUCUCCACAGCAAGUACGGGGUUGAGGGACCCAGCAAGGCCGUGCCGGGCAGAGCUGCUGGACGAGGUGUGUGUGUGAGUGAGCUGGAGGUGGUUGGCAGGAAAAGCACCCGUCCCGGCUGAGCCCAUGCUCCUGGGGCUGCGGGGUCAAGGAGACAGUGCACAGCUGGCCGGGCCUUCAGGAUCCUGGAGGUGCUCGGGGCAGGCGCCUUCAGUCAACACUCCAGGACACCGGGUCCCGGGGAAGCAGUGAAUUGCCUGUCAGGAGCCACGCCUGGCAAAGAUGGAAAAGGAAAAGGCUGUUAUCGACGGAGCAGGAGGGGUCCAGGCUGGAGGCUGGAGGGAAGUCACCACGGGCCCGGACGGUCAGGACGGCUUCCUCCUUCCAUCUGGCCUUCUCUGCUCCACCUCUCCAAGGUGGGACAUGCUGUGUCAGCCCUGUGUGCUCCCAGGCCCCGCACCAGCAGCCCAGUCCCUGCUCCAGACUCACGGGAGGAUCUGAUUGGCUCGGCCCCUCCCUGGCGUGUGAUCUCCAGUGUGCAGUCAGCCGGGACCAGGGGGCACGUCCCUGCAUCCUGGGCUUUCCCAGGUCCCAUCUCUGCUUUGGCACUGUUCCCAGACAACGUGUGGAGCAGACACCCUAGGAUGGGGCUACUGCCGGCGCCUGUGGUUGAUGGAACUCUCGAAUGCAGUGUCUCCCCAGCUGAGCCAGGCAGCUUCCCCUUCUGCAUUCUCCACGCCUGCGCACUGACUGCGCCCGUGGAGGAGGGCCCUGCUCCCUGGAUCUCCCCCUGCCAGGGCUGCAGGAGACUCCCUGGAGGCGUGUGGUCGGGGUGGGCUGUGAGAACCCUGAGGCACCCCGCUGAGCUGCGGGCGUCAAGCCUCUGUCUUCCCGGGUUUGCUUCUCCCUCUUUUCCAGUCUAGUUAGAACAUUUGCUGAGUGUCUGCCGUGUGCAACAAGCUCAGGAAAGAGAGGAUCGGGUGAGACGGAUCAGUGGAGGGGGCAGGUCCCAGCGACGCAGGCAGGGCCGGGCCCACCGCCUCAGUCCCUCCUCCUGGCCUGUGAGGUAGCCCCCCAGGCUGCUUUGCCCCAUACUCCGGGGUGUGGGAAGUUUCCGCGUCAUGGCCCCCCGCAGGACGGCUUCCCUCCCCCUCUCCCUUGCCCCCCAGGGCUUUGUAAGAGUCGCAUGGGACAGUGUGCAUGAAAGCUCUAAUUAAGAGUAAAGGAUUACAUGAGUGUAUUUUUCAGUCAAAACCAUAAAAGAAACCUUCCCUAAGGUUGGCCCAAGUGCUCCUGCUGAUGUGGGAGGAAGCUGGGUCUGGGGGCUGCAUCCUCCUCCCUGGCACGGAGUACGUGCGAGCUUUCGGGGUGCUGAGGAAGGUGGGCCUUGAGGACCGGGCUGAGAGAGCUGGCUUUGAUCCUGUUGGCAGGGCUGUGUUGACAACAGUCUUCUGGGAGGGGACCAGCCCACGCAGAGCUGGGGUCCCACGUCCUUUCUCGGGGCUCUGAGUCAGUUCUCAGGACACCGUGUGGCGGCUCCCAGUGGGCGUGCCGGUUGUGCAUCCGAGUGUGCUGCAAGGUGUAUGCUGCUCUCACGGCCCCUCUCCCCUCCACGGGCCGCAGUCCUGGACACGCUGGGAGAGCUUCUCCUGGCAGCAGGGCGGGGGGCUGUGCAGCCUCCCCCGCCGAGUGGCUUUGCCGCAUCCUUGCACACUCCUCCCCCAGACCCCACGCUUCACACCGCCUCCGCCUCUCGGCUCUCCUCCUCUCUUCCUCAUUCAGGGCGCUGGGUUUUGGUGCUUGUUGCCCGCAGCGGCAAAGAGCAAGGAAUGACAGGUACCGCCAAGACUACUUGGCUAUUUAAGCAAUCAAAGUUUAUUGAUAAAGGGAAAAAGAACGAGGAGCAGGAACAAAGGGGAACAACAAAUCGGUACUCACAACAUCCACACCGCAAUCCGCCGGGGAAGUCCCAAUAGUCUGUAUGGCAGGUGGGAUGCCGAUUGUCCGGGUCUGAGGCACAGCAUCCUCUCCUCAGCGAGACUCCCAAUUGUUCUAUGCUGUGACUCCCUUUUAUCCUGAGGUUCUUCCUCUGGGUUCUGACUCAGGGUUUCAGACAUUUGGAUAAUUUGAGUUAUUUCUUCUUGUUCCCACAGAUGGGAUGCUUCUCUCUUUUUUGUUCCCGUGGAUGGGAUGUUUCUAAAGUCCCAUCAGGUGCCCGUCGGGGUGGCCAGCCCAGACAGGGAACAUGACGCAGGACAUAUUCUUUGUAACUUGUGCCUUAGAGUCAGGGCUGAAGUGGCCGUCUUUGGCCCCGAGCCCAGACACAUUCCUUCACGUAGGGCGCAGGCCCAGUGUCCUUGGAAGGCGGGGAGGUCAAUGAACUCUGCAUAGUGCUGGAACCUGGUCUGAGGUCCAUCUCAGGCCCCUGAGUUCUGAGUUCACCUGGACCCCCUCCCCAGCAUCGGGACCUCUGGACGAGAUCCCUGAGAAUCAUCAGAUCGUACUGACAACGGCUGCCCAGAUGCUGGCUCGGUGGAAUCUUGGGUCCACGUCGGCCCCUUGUCUGUGCUGUUAGUCCGCUCCCGCGCCCUCCUGCCGUGGUGAGGGCGUUCAGAGCCCCCGAUCUACUGCAACAGCCAUCAGGGGAUAGAAACGAGGCUUUGCCCCUCAACUAGUCCCCUGACCUCUCACGAGGGACAGCACUGGACCUGGUUACUCACAAUGUCUGUUAACCGUGAAGUCUUUCCUGUGAGGUUGGGAGCUCCUCGAGAGAAGGUGGCAUGUCUUACUCAUGUUCCCGUCCUCAGAACCAAACAUGGUGUCUGUAACUGGUAAGUGUUAAUACAGCAGGGAUGGGUGCCCAGCCCAAGCCAGGCCAACUUCUUAUGGAGCCAAGGUAGGGAGGGGAAGCUUUCCCUACGGCUGGAGCUGCUCAUCUGGAGGCUGAUGGCCUGGGGCUGCUGGUCGGCCUCUUGCAGCCACACAGAGCGAGCCUUCCUGAGAACGACGUCACUGGGGGAAGCCAUUCACGGGGAGAGGUAGGUUCCCAGUGACGACAUCAGGCACCUGGAUGUCAUUGACUUGAAGCUGAGAUGAGCCUCUCUUUAGUUUCAUAAGCCAAUGUAUUCCCACUUUAGUCUGAGCCAGAUGAACUGGGCCUCUGUUAUUUGCCACCAACAUCCUGACUACUCCAGGGAUCGUCCAUCGGUGCGUUAGCUGAGCAGGCACUCGGCCAGGCCCCGGAGAGGCCAACCCCGCCUCCCGCUGCAGUCGCAUUCCUCCCGGCCAGCUCCAGGGCUAGCAGGGCUCGCCCGUUUCCACACUGUCACUCAUGCGGCCCUGGGCCCAGUGCUCCCAUGAAAGAUGGGUCUGGACCUGUCAUCAGAUUGCACAUUGUCCCCUGCGCCUGGUUAUGAAGUCUUUGGCAAAUCAGUUCUUUAUGGCCUUUUAAUCAGGAGGAGAUAAACAGGAGAAGGAGCUCAAAGAAAUUCUUCACAGAAGACUCCAAGCACUGUUCGUCCAGGAGGCCGUGGCUGCCCCCGUGCAAAGGUUCCGGGAGGCUGGGAGCCCCAGAUCACAGGAGCGAAGGUCUGGGCUCUCAGGGGGCCGAGAAGGAGUGUGUGAGGGGAAGGGAGGAAGAAAACCGAGCAUCUUCGUUCCACGGCUAAGCCCGCCCGGGGCGGGUGGGGAGCGACAUGGGCCUGGGACUGGAGUCUGCAGAGCUGACCCUGGGCCUCCAGCUGCCUCCCUGACACAGUCACUCACGCUGGGCACCUGCUGCCCCCUUGCCAGAGUGGGGCUCUUGGUCCACGGUCGCAGGCCUCCUGCCUCUGAAAGUUUGCAACGGUAAGACUGCUCUCGGGUCCUCAUCGGUGGUGCGGUCUGUGUCGACGGGCGCCCUGACCUGCGGGGAAAUGCGGAAAACAGGCCCGCGUGGUUUUUCAUAAAGCUAUAUUUAUUCAAUUGAAAGGACUUCCUUUUAUUCUGUGAUGGCACCUUUCCCACUCCUCUGGCCUCACAUAGUCCUUCCUGUGGUGAAAUGAUGGUGAUUAUAAAGAGUUGUUUACUUGGCAAAAUAAAAAGCUUUCAAUCGCACGUCCACCCGCCAGUGGUCUGCCUUCCUGACACUGCACAGCACUGUUGGCAGGACGCGGCUUUGCUCGGAUCACCCCGGGGACCCCAGCAGGCUGUCACCGCGCACACUUCUCUCUCUCCUGUGCGGUGGCAUACGGGACACCCCAGCCUCCCAGGGCAGGUGUCUGGUGAGGAGAGAAGGUUUCCUGGAGACCCGCAGGUGAGAGGGCCUUUUCUUGUAUGUGUAGCUCACAAUACCCUUUGGUGACUCUGAGGCAGCGUGUAGGCAGGAAUUAAGCCCCAUCUCACAAAUGAGGGGAGUCACCCUCGGAGAAGGUAAGCUGCAUGCUCAGAGUCCCUCGAUGGCUGUCAGAGGCUGGUGCCUCAGCCACGUGGCACCCGGAGGACUGCGUUGUGCGGACAAGAGCAAAGGUCUUGACCCCCCAGUGCUGAGGUUCUGCCCCUGCCACUGGCCAGUUCGUGGUCCUGGCCGAGGUCUUCCUCCUCUGGCUGGUUUCCGCUCCCGUCACAUGGGAUAAUGGUGAUGGAGGUCACGUGUGCAGAGCACCCGGGCACAGAGCAGCUCCCAUAAGCUGCCUUCCCUUCCAGCUCCAGGAUUUUGAGAGACCGGAUGGGCACAGACCUAGGCAAUUGAUGCUCUUGGAAGACAAGACACCCUCCCCCGUACCUACUUCCCACCCAGGACCACCCAGAUAGCACUGGUCAGCCUGCCACAGGGCUUGCCUUUGCACCAUUGCGUUGCCAUCCCUUUGCCCCUGGAAACCUUUGGGGGAAUUGCCUUCUGAAGCUGUGGGGGAUGCCUAGCGCCUCCUGUGGCUCCACACGGGAGUGCUUCUCACCAGGUACAGGCAACGCGAUGUUCUCCCUUCACUGCGCCCCAGGGGCUAGGUCCUACCUGCACCUCCUCAUCCAGAAGGGCUGCCCCGGGUGUCCCACCCCAUAAUUCUCCCCCUGUGGUAGCAGAUGCGUUCCCACCCCUGUGUCUCCCCUUUGGCCUGCACCAUUCGCAUGCACACCACGAUUCCACCGCAAACCCCGUGACUCCGCCUGAGGCUGUUCUCUGGCGGCAGGAACCUGCCUUGCUGCCCCAAUGCAGGGCAGCCUGGAGGUGCCUGGGAGUCCCCACCUCCAGGAGCAGCCCUCAGCCGGUGCCCCAGCUUCUGUGUCCUGGAGGGACCAUGCUCUGCACAGUCUCCCGAGGUCCCCAACAGGACUGAGCUCCAGUUGCCCAUAGCAGUAACCUGCCACUCAUGGCAGCACAACCUCUGUUGGCUUCCUCCUCCUCCCUGUCGCUCCCAAGCCACUGUCUGAGGCUCCCAGGAUCGCCUCCCAGUGAACAGGAGUCUUCAGCCUCCGCGUCUGUGGAAGCCAGCCUGAGUCACUGGUCCCAGGAACUCACCACACACGGAUUUCUGCAAGGGCCCUCGUGCACACCACACGUGCUGUGCUUGGAUCGCACCGUGGGUCAGGAUUGCCAGUGCUCAGGGACUAGCCAUUCUUCAGGGCUUGUGUCUGACAAGGACUCCUCCUGGAAGCCCUGUGCACUCCCAAGCGGAUUCCACCGCCUCCGCCUCUGUCCUCGGGUCACACAACGUGUGUCCCCAGAGUAGGGGCUAUCUGUUCUGUUCUGCUCUGCUCUGGGGUCACUUAUAUGUCACUCAGCCUCCUCACCACCCCAACCCCCAGGCCUGGGAGCUGUCUGCACUUAAGACCAGAGACCACCCCCUCAGAAGCCUGGAGCGGCCAGUCAGAUAACACCACUGAGUCCAGGGGCCAGGAGUCCAGCACAGGUAAGAGUGGGGCCUGGGAUGAACUCGAGAGCAAGUCCCACCAGAAUUUCAUUUGAAGGGAAAGAACAAACUGCCUGCUAAACGCGGAACAUCUGUGGGCCGGACGCUGAAUUGAAGGAAGAUCCCUUUCACCUGGGCGGGGGCGGAGGUCUCGCCUUUCUCAUCACAGCCCCAUGGCCCAGGAUGCAGCACUGCCUAGAGAGGGGGUGUUGUAUAAGCUCCUUCAUAACACAGAGGGAGUGGCGGGGCAUGGGUGGGGAGGGAGCCGUGCCGACAGUACCACUGUUCAGGACAGUCCCUCCCGGGUCUGGCUGCCCAGAGAGGGCAUGUUCUCACCUGCUCUCAGGCAACUCCGUCUCCGGGGUCUUCCUCGACCAGCACAGGGAGCGAAGAGCUCCAGCCACCUGGGUUUUUCUCUUCCCUUCGCGAUGGAGGCGCUGGUGACUGGGGCAUUUCUGGGUCCACACCCGACCUGGCUCACGACCUGUAUCUAGGCUGACCAGACUCCCGUGGGCCCUGUACCUGGGCCUGCGGGAGCACGAGAAGGCUCUCCCUGGGACACAGGGAAGUCUGUUCAGCCUCUCUCAUCCACUUUCAGAAUUUCUCGUGUCUGAUGCUACUGGCACAAUUAUCGACUGAAUAUUUUUCCUUAAGUAGGCUUCGUGUUCUCUCCCUCUCCCCAUGUGCUGGAGCCUAACUGAGACUUUCUCCUUGAUGCAAAUGCAAGGACUGAAAGAGCUUUGAAAAGGGAGCGGCUUCUUCCUCUCCCUCUGAUGGUCCAUGUUUUUUAAAGUCCUUUUAUUGCGUAAAUCAUCCCCAUUCAGACCCCAGUUUAGUUCAGGCACCCACAGGGAUUUUCACCACGGCCCCGCCCCCUCAGGGAACCUGCCUGACAUAGGAGGGGUCAGGACCAGGGUGGAGGUCGUAGGAAGCUGGGCUCGAUUUGGGAGAUGGGCUCGGGGGUCCCAACUGAAGCAGGGUUUUCCUCCUUUCCUCACCUUCUGGGAUCUAGUCUGGAGUUGUGGGGGGCCCCGACUUUCAUAGAAGUGCAGCCACAGCGAGCUCAGUGGAGUGCAGGGACAGCACCACACUCCUCAGGGCUGUGGGAGCUGAGGAUGGAGCCCUGCGGCCCUGAGGCCAUGAGUGGACAGAGAGAGGUGGGCAGGGGCCACCACACCAGAGAAGAGUGUCUCUACCUCGCCAGAGUUGCUGGCAGGUGCCAAGCUCCAGCCCAGGUACACGGGACCCCUGACCCUGCUCUGUUGGCAGGCAGGGGAGGGGAGGGUUCGGCACCCUGGGGUGCUUUGCCGGCAAUCUGGAGAGAGAAUGAGUGCACAUGUGUAGGCAGCUCUCUCAUCUCUGGGGGCUCCAGUGACGCCCAUCCUGGGGCUGUCUUGGUCGCUUUGCUCAGUCCAGUAUCAGGGUCUUUUUUCCCCGUUGUAGGGUCUGCAGCCUGCGGGAUGUGGACUCACAGAUGGGCAAUGUGUCCCUAGGUCUGGAUUGACCAGAAAAGCUGCUCCCUGGCCUCGGUGUGGGGAGGAGACACCACUCGUGCUCCUGGAGCCUCCUUCCCAGAGGAGGGCACCAACCCGGGGGCACUGACAGCUCUGAGGGAGCACCACCCCACGCCAAACUCAAUGGAGGGACCAGGCUGCUAUCUGGGGCCACCGUAGAGGGAAUUGCCUGCCUGCCACCUACCUAAGGGAUGGGCUCCCUUCCUCUGCUGGGACCUCCAUGGGCCUAUCGUGCCCACAAUCCAUGAGCCGUGGCCCCCAGGCAUUGCCAGGAAGCAGUCUACGUGAAAGGACGACGUGUCUAAUUUUGCAGCUACGUGGAGGAUUUGUCACACAGAACCAUCCGUUCAAUCUAGACCAUCACUAAAAGCACUCCGGAUAAUAAAUCUUCAUUUUGUAUUAACUGGAGAGGCAGCCGCCUUCUCAGAAUGGCUGUUCCCGCGUAAUCAUGAUAAAUGGAGAAUCCUGGACAGGAGAAGAGUUGCCUCGAGCUAACAUCUGUUGCCAGUCUUCCUCCUUUUUUCUUCUCCACCCCCAAAGCCCCAGUACACAGUUGUGUAGACUUGAAGCCUGAGGACUCGCACCGCAUCUAAGAUAACUGAUGAGAGAGAGGCUGAUUGGCUCACACCCUCCCUCCGCCUCGGCAGUCCCCUCCUCCUCUUCGUCCCUAGAGGCAAAUACAGCCAAAUGUGAAUGCGUGAACGGCUGCUGACUGGUAAUGUUACUUACAUCUAACUUCUUUUUGGUCAUUAAUCCUGCAAAUAUGUCUCUUUUUAUGUGGCUGCAAUUACCAAUUCGCUGCUUGUCAUAACAGUCAUUAGGAGUGGAAAAUAUUGUCAAAUGACUUACAGAGAAAGUAACCUGGGAACUUCAGUGUUUUUCUCCAUGGCGUCAGGACCAAGUAUUGGCUGAGCCCUGGUGCCUGCAGGACCUAGGUGUGGUCAGGGGGCUGGUUGUGGGGAGGCAAUAAACACUUAAGAGAAUUAAUAGUGUUUUAAGAUUUUAUUUAUUUUUAAAGACAGUGGCUUCCUUGUGGGUAGAAUAAGAGAGUCAGAGGAGAUCAGUCAUUUCCAACUCUGAGCCCACGGGCUGACUCCUCCUCCACUGCAAAAGGGGAAAAACAAGGACAGGUAGUGCUUAUGUUUAUAAGGCUAAGUUUACUUGCUACGAGGGACUUUAUUCCAAGAUUAUAUUCUGGUGGUUAGUGGUAAUAGAUGGCAACUUAAAAAAUGUCUUUGAUUAGCAAAAUAAAAGAGGCUAGCAACUUGAUGCCAGUUUCUCAAUUACUCCAAUCCUCGCCCCUGCCGCUCUUGUCUCCAACGUGGGGCCCAGGGAUCUUACCAUUUUUGUGCGGGGAGUUUGUAUUCACCCUUCAAGACUCAAAUAGAGUGUCACUUCCUCCUAGAAGGCUUCCCUGAUGACUCUCACUCAAAUUCACCCUGCAAGGGUGCCUGAUCUUCUAUGUUGCCACAACUCUGAGUACAUAUUUCUGCUGUGGCGCCUGGGAGUUAGGGUUGUAGUUUCUGUUGCAUUUCUGUUUCCCUCAGGAGAUAGGGAAGACUUGAAGGAGGUGAGGUGGUGGUCUGUUUCUUCUUUAUUUUUAUAGCCUGGGGUCUCCCUACUGGGAGUGACACAGGAAUCGGGGGCUCAGCAGAACACAGAUGGAAGCGAAAUGAGGGCAACUGAAGACGUUAUGCUAGGGACCAUCCACAAAGGUGUAGGCUGGGUGUAGAGCAGCCACAAGGCAUAGAAGAGGAGCCUGCAUCUGGGAAGGUCACCACAUCAGGAGGAUGGUGUGGACAGGGCUCCUGACAGGAACUGAGACCCAUCCAGGAACAGAGCCAGGCCACGGUGACAAGCAGGGAGAGAGACAAAGGACAGUGCCCAGCCUUUCCCUCCUCCCUCCAGGCUCCUGCAAGGACUUCCCCUUGGAUGGAACCCAGCUAGGAGGCAGGGGCAGGGAGUCUGUUGGUAUUGUCCGUGCAGGAUGACCUCAGCAGGCACAUGGCAAGAAGAAAAGGGUGGACAGUGAGCCUGAGGGGCAGACAGAAGACCUCCAGCACAGGAGUGCGCAGCAAGUGUGUUUGGAAUAAAUGACUCUUUCUGCACGGGUCAUUGGACCAUGCAAAUAUUUAUGCUUAGAGUGAGGUGACAAUGUUGAUGAUGAUGGUGACAAUGAGAACCAUGAUGGUGCUGGCGAUGUGGAUGAUCAUGAUGACAGCAGUGGUAGUGAGGCUGCUGCUGCUGCUGCUGGUGAUGAUGAUGACAAAUAGCUAACGUUUAUUGAAUACUUGACGCGUACUUCCACAUGCUAGGGGCUGAGCUAAACACUUUACAUACUUCACCUCAAUUACUUCUCAUGACCCUAUGAGAUGGGCGUUAUUAUUAUUAUUCCCUUGUUAGAGAUAGGGAGAUGGAGGCUCAGAAAGAGCAAGUGACUCGUGAGUGGCCACACAUCUUGGAUGGGCAGGAGCUGGUGUCCCAGCUUAGGCGUCUGACUCCAGAGCCAAGGUGAUCGCCGUGCACAACACUGCCUCACUUUCAGAUUGCUCGUAUGUGCGCACCAUCUCCAUUACCCUGUUCUGGAAUCUUCAGUGCAUUUCCAUUUCCCAAGAUCUCAAAUCCUGAGUCUGGAUUUCCAGGCCCCCCCAUUUUCUGGUCCCUUUCCAGUCUUACCUUCUGAUAUUUCUACCCACAAAGCACAC